ACUCCCUACUUUUUAUUAUAUAUACAAGUUCCAAAACCUCAUGCUCAAACACGGUUUAGAUUUCUUAAACCUAUUGAAAUAUCAGUUUUCAAUAUGGAACCUCAAAACAUAACCAUGUUGAACAAUCUCAAUCCUUUGUCAAACAACUACACGCUCAAGUUGAAGAUCGUUUCCCUUUGGAGGAAAAUGAUGCACGGCCGUCCGACUGAAACUUAUCGUGUCGACAUGAUAUGCAUGGAUGAAGAGGUACGAUUUAUCAACUUUUACUAUACUGUUAUUAUAUUAUGUAUUAAGUAUGGGUCUUCAUCUCCUUAAUUUUUUUUUAUUUAAUAACUUAAUUUUUAUUGAUAUUUUGUAGGGUCACCAGAUUCAGGCUAGCUUUAUGCAUAGGAUUUUGCCAAGACUUCAGGAAUACUUCAAGCUGGAUGAAUGUCUUCUGAUAACCAGACCAUCGCUUGCACCCAACAAUUCAACCUACAACUACACCAAAAAUAAUCAGAAGUUAACUUUCAGUUUUUUCACCCAGAUUCAAAAAAAGUCAAGAUUGGAACGGGCCUAAGUAUAACUUCAGUUUGUGAAUUUCAAGGACGUUGUCCAAAAUCGACUUGAAGUUAAUACCACAGUUGACUUUAUAGGAUAUGUUGAGGUUUGUUUCAAUCUAGAGGACACCAACGAAAAGGAUGGUACGAAAGGGAAGAGAUUGAAUGUUAAGCUUAAAGAUCUUGAGAACCACCAGAUUAUUGGUACACUUUGGGAUGAAUUUGCAAUUCGGAUGCAUGCCUACUUCAACGCUGAAAAUCGAGAGAAGUAUGUCG
Molecule: long non-coding RNA, 815 nt
Organism: Helianthus annuus (common sunflower)
Lineage: Eukaryota; Viridiplantae; Streptophyta; Magnoliopsida; Asterales; Asteraceae
Exons: 3
Source: RefSeq, a predicted model, not a curated record